This is a non-coding RNA of Phrynosoma platyrhinos (Desert horned lizard), 72 nucleotides long. The record is from the annotation of a GenBank genome assembly. Lineage: Eukaryota; Metazoa; Chordata; Lepidosauria; Squamata; Phrynosomatidae.
GCCAGCACAGUGUAGUGGUUUGAAUCUUGGACUACAGCUCAAGAGACCAGGGUUUGAUUCCCUGCUCAGGCA